GAGUAUUCAUGGUUAGAGUCUCAGUCUCUAUUACGGGCCCUAGUACACUUCAGGAACUCAAAAGCUUUGCUGAUAUAAUGCAAGGUGAUAAAAAAGUAGAAAGACUUGGGAUAAUCUUGAUUUCUGAAGGCAUCAAACGGGAAUUAGAGAAAGCAGCAGGAAAAACGAAGGCCUUUUUAAGUUCCAUGAGAACUACGGUUUGCAAGACUGGUCAAAACAGUACAAUGCAAGCGGCAAGAAUCAGGAAGUGCACAGAAACAAGAAGCUCGGUGCACACUGGGAUCAGGCAAGCAUCUGGGAGAAGACUGUAGCAAGACUGGAUCCUGAGAAAUAUACAGAGUUCAGAGGCUCCAUGGCUACACUUUGGGCAUGUAUGUCAUUACAGGAAUGAAAAAAAGAUGAUGGCCAAAUGCUGUAUUAAAAUCCCAUUAGAAAUGCCGGGAGAAAUUUAUGGCCCCAAUCUCUUUUAUCUGACAGCAGUUCCCAUGUGAUCCAUCAGGCUCUGAACAUGAAUUUUAAUGGGCUCAGAACCACUUCUCUACCCUGAGGUCACAGGCUGUCAGAGUGAAUCUUCCACAAACUGAUUGGAACCUGAAGAAUUUGCUCUGUCAAGAGAGAGAUUAUUACAUCGCAAGACAAUGCAUCGCUCCAGCAAGGAUAACAAAGCGAAUGGGAAGGAAAGGGUUAUGAAGAGUUCAUGGAAGGCACCUUAGGCAGACUACUUUUAGGAAAGAGUGGAUGUGGAAGCUAAGUAUCUGGAAAUUGAUUUCCUUAGAACAGUUUGUGUUUGCAUGUCUUCUGAAAGGUUUUAUGUACUCCCAAGAGUAAGUAUACCUGUUUGAAGAAGCUGCUCAAUAUAGUUCUUAAAAUAGUCUACAAACAUGUUACCCCAGCAUAGUAAGAAAUAGGAGUACAGCCAGAAAUGAGAGUGGGAAUGAUUAGAGAGACCUCUUUGAGGCCUUGGUCGUGGGCAGGAGCACAGUGGGCCGGGCUCUUUCUAGAUGUGCUUUAAUCAUCAGGAAUUCUGAUACAAUUAUAUUUUGACUAUGAUAUAUAAGCUUCAUUUGAUUACUGUUGCCAAAUAUUUUUUGCUCUUCACGAAGUAAACCUCUUUUUAAAACUUUUUAACUGGCAAAUAAUAAUUGCAUCUAUUUAGGGAGUACAUUGUGAUGUUUUGAUACAUGAUUACAUUGUGGAAUGAUUUAAUCAAUCUACUUAAAUUUAGUGAAAAUAACUUAAGCUAUUAAUCUCAGCCUUGGUGGCUUCUCCUAAUUUAUGCUUACACAAGAGGCUAUCUUCAUUGUGAAAUGUCACAGACUCUCACAAGCAAGAGAAGAAAAUGUAGAGAAGCCCCUCAAAUAAAAUGCAUUAGGUUAAUUCAUACCGACAAAUGUGACACACUUAAAAUUGUUCCUAACAUCAGUUCAUGAUUUAUUUCAAAAGUUCUUAAUAUUCAAAAAUGCUCAAUAAUUUAAAGUAUUUCAAUGUAUAUAGCAAAUAAACCCUGCUAUUAAAACAAAAGAAUCAGGUUCAUUUCAGAAGAGUGAAAACUAGCAAGAUCUUACUGUAAAUCAACUGUUUGUUUUCAAUUAUUUGGCAUGAGAUCUUACAUAUUUUUAACCCAUGUUUUAAUUCUCGUAGAUACCCUGUUGCAAAAGUUCUGAAACAUUGUGAGAAAAAGUGUUUUUGUAGCACUUUGGCAAUGGGAGCCUCACUUCACUCUGUUAUGUAAUGUCCCAUCCAGUUUUUAGUUAAACCUGGAAACACCUUUGUCCUUAGGUGAAGCAGCAAGUCUUGCUUAAGCAAAGCUGGUGAAAUCAGAGCCUGGUCCAAGGCUCAGAAGCGUUUGCGGGGAAAAGCAAACACUUUUUGUGGGAGAAGGAAACAAAGGAGAAGAGAGGAGGAGGAAGAAAUUGAAAAAGAAGGGGAAGAGAAGAGGAAAAGAAAAAGAGACGUUGAGAGAAAGAAAAACAGAGAGCUGUGUGUGAUUGGAUGCCAUGACUCCUCAGUCUUAGUGCUAAUGCCGUUGUUACCUAACUCUAUUUAGGGAACUUUCCAGAACAAAGCGAAGCUUUGUGGGCCUGGCUUUCAGAACUUAUGCAACAAUUGUUUUGGGAGCAGACUGAAAAUUUUACAAGAGAACUGAGUUUUCAAGAGACUGACGGUGUGACCAAAAGAUCAAAGGUUUGGUGCAGUGGGACUAAGUUUCAGGCAGCCUUUCAAAUUGUGAAGACUUUCCUCCCUGUUAUGGCAGUUAAGACAUGUGAAAAUGGUAGUUCGAGACACUUAUAAGCAACUUUCUUCUUAGUUCACAAUGUUCCAUGAAUGUCAGUGCCCUCCAAACUCACGAGAACAAAGCAGGCAACCAGGAUGAUUACUCCCAAAUCAUUGAUAAAAGGAGAGAGAAGUACAGAGAUACACAGUGAUUUGUGUGGGUUGCCAAAAAGUUGCACGGUCAGUUUGACAACUGUUAUUGCCUUCAGGUUGACAAAUUGCAAAAGCAGCAUUGCUGUGUAUGGGUGGGGAGGGAGGAGGAAUUGCAUGAGUAAGAAUGAGAUGAGCAAUAGUUAGGUGGGGUGGAAAUGAAAUCUCAACAGUUAUUGGGGAUUCUGAUGUAUUUAUCAAACCAAAAGACGAUCUAAAAGCCAUACAAUCAGACUUAGAUUAGGGCAGUCUGUGAUAAGCAAAAGUUAAUAUAGUGUGUUGUUUUUGAAAAUAUGGCAUGAUAAUUAAUAGCAACUCUUUUUGUAUACUUGCUUGGUUAACAGGAGGAAACACAGAUAAAUUAAAUACUGGUUAGCAAUCUUUAAUAACCAGGAGAUGCUUAACAUUUAUUUAGAAAUCUGCAACAUUUUAUAAAUCAUUGUUUUGGCUUCUGGGACAAACUCAGAAUCUGGAACCCACGGAAACCCUUCAGUUACACAAAGGCUUUCCAGUUCAUUGCUACUGCACUGAAGAACAGUCUUCACAACUAUACCUGGAACUUACUAGGCCAAGAAGGCAAGGCGUUGGUAUGUGUUUUUAUUGUAGUUAAACUUAUCUGGAUUUAAAAGGCAUUAACUAUCUUCUGAUUUCUUCCUUUUUCUUCAAUUGUACAAGAGUGUUUCAAUUGAAUAUUGCAACUGAAGACAUUCACUCUGCGUUGAUCACCUAUGGAGUGAUCAAAUUUCAACCCUUUGAAGUUUCCUAAAUGAAAGAGGCACUCUGAAUUCAAAGGCUGUUUGAAUGAACUGACUGCUUCAGCACUGUCUUGUAGAUAUAGUCCAUUCAAAUAAAAGACAAAUAUCUGACUGAAUUUUGUUAGCACGUUAAGACAUGUAUUAUAAAAAGGUUUAAGAAGAAAAUAAUGGCCACAAUUCUUCAGAAAACAUGUGAACUAAUGUGACAAAACACUGUGGUGUUGCAAACUCAAGUGCUGCUCUGGCCAAGUCACCUCGCUGAAAUCUCCACUUCCACUUGUGCAACCUACCAAGCCACUCUCUACACAGCUGCCAGAGUGAUUACAAAAACAACGCGGGAUUAUGCUACCCCUGCUUAUCUAAAAUUUGUCAAAAUGCCCGUUACACUUUGAAUAAAAUACAGAUUCCUCUCAGAUCUCAUUUCUUAUCAUGUCUUUCUCAAUCAUUAUGUUCCAGCCUCACUGACCUUCUUUCUGUUCCUGUAAAAUAUUCCUGCCUCAAGGGCGCAGGCCUACGACCUGCAGUUCUCUUUUUCCCACAUGUGACCAGGCUCUCUCUUAGCCAUCAGGUCUCAAAUAAGCUCUUUCCGUUCUGUCUAGGCAUCUUAUCAAAAUCAACCUGUGUAUUAUUAUUCAUUUAUCACAUAAUCUUGUUUUAUUUUCCUCAUAGCACUCUCACUUUCUGAAAUUAUCU
RNAcentral lists this long non-coding RNA (3872 nucleotides) under Homo sapiens (human). RNAcentral's name for it is "HSALNT0296467". The record is from RNAcentral. Lineage: Eukaryota; Metazoa; Chordata; Mammalia; Primates; Hominidae.